This 18-nucleotide small nuclear RNA is filed under the name Arabidopsis thaliana (thale cress). Its description in RNAcentral is "snRNA_04089". Lineage: Eukaryota; Viridiplantae; Streptophyta; Magnoliopsida; Brassicales; Brassicaceae. The record is from RNAcentral.
CUCGAGCUGCUUCCGCGG